This 394-nucleotide ribosomal RNA is filed under the name uncultured bacterium. RNAcentral describes it as "partial 16S ribosomal RNA". It matches the Rfam family "Bacterial small subunit ribosomal RNA", at positions 362 to 774 of the family's 1533-position model. The record is from RNAcentral.
UAUUGCACUAUUGAUGAAACUCUGAUGCAGCGACGCCGCGUGAGUGAUGAAGGUUUUCGAGUCGUAAAACUCUGUCCUAUUGGACGAUAAUGAGGGUACCCGCGGCGGAAGCCCCGGCUACCUAAGUGCCAGUAGCCGCGGUAAUACGUAGGGGGCGAGCGUUGUCCGGAAUUAUUGGGCGUAAAGGGUUCGCAGGCGGCCUUUUAAAUCAGAUGUGAAAGAUCACGGCUCAACCGUGGUAAGCAUUUGAAACUGGAAGGCUUGAGUUAAGGAGAGGAAAGUGGAAUUCCUAGUGUAGCGGUGAAAUGCGUAGAUAUUAGGAGGAAUACCAGUGGCGAAGGCGACUUUCUGGACUUAUACUGACGCUGAGGAACGAAAGCGUGGGGAGCAAACA